GGGCAUUUAGCUCAGUUGGUUAGAGCGCUACAUUCACAUUGUAGAGGCCAGAGGUCCGAGUCCUCUAAUGCCCACCA
This 77-nucleotide transfer RNA is filed under the name Candidatus Omnitrophota bacterium. Its description in RNAcentral is "Candidatus Omnitrophica bacterium tRNA-Val". It matches the Rfam family "tRNA". Rfam says of the family: Transfer RNA (tRNA) molecules are approximately 80 nucleotides in length. Their secondary structure includes four short double-helical elements and three loops (D, anti-codon, and T loops). The record is from RNAcentral. Lineage: Bacteria; Pseudomonadati; Candidatus Omnitrophota.